UCAGGGGGUAGUUUAAAAAUAUAGAAUAGUAGCUUUGGGAGCUAAUGAUAAAGAUAUUUCUUUCUCUCUGAG
This 72-nucleotide transfer RNA is filed under the name Hapalocarcinus marsupialis. Its description in RNAcentral is "tRNA-Pro". It matches the Rfam family "tRNA". From Rfam's summary of the family: Transfer RNA (tRNA) molecules are approximately 80 nucleotides in length. Their secondary structure includes four short double-helical elements and three loops (D, anti-codon, and T loops). The record is from RNAcentral. Lineage: Eukaryota; Metazoa; Arthropoda; Malacostraca; Decapoda; Cryptochiridae.